UGUUCAUUCUCUGCUUGGGUGGUUCCCAGAUAUUGCCAGGCCUCCAUGUGAUCUGGCUUCUGUUGUACUGCAGCCUCAAACAGCAGGACAGCAUUGGGGAGGUCACCUUCCUCCAAGCGCUUUCGCCCUUCUUCAAAUGCAUCAGGAUGAUCUCUCAUGGGAUUAUCUUCUUCAAACUGGUAACCCUUGUCAUAUGAAGAGGAGCUGAGGUCAUCGUAAUCAGUAAGCCAAGGAUGAGCCUCUGCAUCUCUCUUGGCCAUCUCCUCCCAUUCUGCCUGGAGUUUGUCCCAGAAAUCCACAUCUGACUGAAGGGAGAACAAAAAGUGACUGGAGUACCUCAACUUUUAAUUGAGUUCUACAACCACCACAAAGCAUGCCUUCUUAAAUGUUUCUAGCCCUCCUCACAACAUGCAUAGGAGAGUCAACCCUGUCAUGGGCU
This 439-nucleotide long non-coding RNA is filed under the name Gallus gallus (chicken). The record is from RNAcentral. Lineage: Eukaryota; Metazoa; Chordata; Aves; Galliformes; Phasianidae.